UGUGAAAUUGGGUGAGUUCCUUCCUAUAGCUGCUUUUGUGAAUCCUUAAACAUAUAUUUCAGGAGUAAGAGAGCCAUGGAUGAGCAAAACCUUUAUAAAAAUGAAAAUUAUAGAAUUUUUUCCUUUCCUUUGUUUUGAGGGAGAGAUUAGAAAGCUACAUUAAGAAUUUUGUAAAAUGCACAUUUAAAAUUCUUAGGUAUCCCAAGAAUUAUCGAGUAACUGUAAAAUGACUUUUUCAGCAUAGUUUGCUUUCAAAGAUUAUACUCCAAUUGUAAUCACUGUAAAUUAGCACCCGGUAUUCCAAAAUAUAGUAUAUUCAUACCAAGUUAGUCCCCAUAGGCUAGUAAUCGCUACUAGUCUUUUUGGAACCGAUGGUCUCAUUAAUGUUCUCUUCUACUUGAAGGAUUACUGUUCUCUCUCAUGUGGUCGACAGAACCUGUGACGUUCCAGAAUUAAUUCUAAGAGGAUAUUGUGUGUCGAAUUUCAGGCACUGAUCAGAAGUAGUUAGUACAAUUUGUUUUUGAUUUGGAAAUUCAGAUGGACUCGAUUUAUUCAAGCGUGAAGGUGUCAAGAGUUUUAGAUCCAAGUUUCUCGCUCUAAAAAGAAGUCUUAGCUGUUCCCAUUCCUGAAUGACCCCAUGAGCAUUCUGUUCUCUGCUUCAUACCUUUAUCCGGGGCUCUGCUCUCUCAGCUUCCUCGUGACUUGAAACCUCUUCAGGGUCCUGGGCAUGUGUCAGGUGGGCUGCGUCCACCCCGUGUGUGAGAAGCACGUGGAUUAACACGAGGGGGACAGUGUUGCUGGGAGAUGCAUAUUUCUUGGUGUCUGUUGGGUGCACAUCAAGAACCCUGUACAUUUGAGUCAAUCCCAGAGCUUACCCUCCAGACACACACACACAUAGUCACCAUCAAAUGGCUUUUUCUGAAGUUACGGAGGACACUAACGUAGCAGGGAAUAGGAUGAGAGAAAAGAAGCGUAGGGUCAGGGUCGCACCAUGAGAACAGGGGCUGUAUCGAUACUGUGAAUGUUUCCUUUCCAAGCUGUUUAUCCAGAUCUGGUUUUUAAUGGUGUAGGAUAUUUAUGUCAAAGUAAAUGUCAUAACAUCAAUCUAGAUUAUACACCAAAUGCAAAACCUGCCCAUUUGUCAGUCACCUUAUUCCCUUACCUUUUCCACAUGCUGGAGUGUUCUGAGGGCUUUUGGUUUGGUUUCUGUUUUGUCUCGAUGAAAUCUUUGCAGAGUGGUGCUCUGAAAGCAGUUUCUCGCGAGCACUAAUGUUAAUGUACGUCUGUAUGUCCGGAACCAGCUGGUCACGUUGGUUUUAGUGAGCUGUCAACAAUUCUCUUGGAUUUGUUUAAGGACGAGCCUGUGUUCUUUGCGGAGGAAUGAAAUGGACCUUUAGGUGUGCGUGUAUGUUUUCAUGUAGCAUCAACAGAAGUACCCAUCUCAUCGUUCCAGUUGAAAACCUGCCGUGAGGAAGAAGAUUCAGACCGAGCACUUUAUUUAAAUCAGGUCUCAAGUUUAAGUUCACAAGCGGCCCUUGGUUCCUAGAGAGGGCUACCUGGCCUGCCGCUGCCAACCAGUCACAAGCUGGGUGCCUGUCCAGAUGUUUGAUUGUUUCGCUGGCCACACCUAUAGAAGAAUUUUGCAGAUUUUCUUCUCGAACAGAAAGGGAAAGAUUCAUUUACGCUGCUGCCACUCAAUUCCAAUGUUUUCUGAGUAACCAUCUCGGCUCUCUUGAAACCUGACAGUGUAAGUUGGUGGAUGUUCGAAGUCAGAACACUUAACCCCAUCAGAGGAAAAACAGGUCUCAGCGCCGGCCUAGACCCUGAGGCCAGGCCCUGCCUCUGCUGCCCCAAACCUGCGAAGGUGUGAUGACCAAAGCAGGUGGCAGAGGGACGCCAGCACCGCUAAUCCUGCGAAGCAAACUUAGGUUACACCUCUCUGGUUCCUUUUGGUGGCGGGGGGACAUUCCUACUUUCUGGAUGAGGACGCAUUUGAAAUACAACAAACUGCCCCAUUCACCCAGCUGCCAACUGGUCAGUGACGUGCCGUUUAUAACUUAGGCUUGUAGGGUUUUUUCCCCCCGAUAUCGUAUCAAAGCUACAUUUUUUUUUUUUUAAAGAAGAAAAUAAGAGGUUUUCCAGGUAUGUGGAGAGGUUUGGCUUGAUGACCAAGUGUGGUGACGACUUUACCCGACGAUGAUUGGAUCCCUGGGAAGCAUUUUAAAAACAGACUGCAGUCCUGCGCCAGCCCUGUGCAGUUGGGUUCAUGCGGGGAAGGUGUGGCUGGAACACGAACGGUCUUUGAAGGAAAUAAACGUGCCCAUGCAACACUA
Long non-coding RNA from Phocoena sinus (vaquita), 2333 nucleotides. NCBI's taxonomy places the organism in Eukaryota, Metazoa, Chordata, Mammalia, Artiodactyla, Phocoenidae. The record is from Ensembl.